UUCCGGUUGAUCCCGCCGGACCCGACUGCUAUCGGAUUGAGACUAAGCCAUGCGAGUCAACCCGCAAGGGUGGCGGACGGCUCAGUAACACGUAGUCAACAUGCCCAGGGGACGUGGAUAACCUCGGGAAACUGAGGAUAAACCGCGAUAGGCCAAGGUUUCUGGAAUGGACAAUGGCUGAAACCUACAUGGCCCCUGGAUUGGACUGCGGCCGAUCAGGCUGUUGGUGAGGUAAUGGCCCACCAAACCUGUAACCGGUACGGGCUCUGAGAGGAGGAGCCCGGAGAUGGGCACUGAGACAAGGGCCCAGGCCCUAUGGGGCGCAGCAGGCGCGAAACCUCUGCAAUAGGCGAAAGCUUGACAGGGUUACUCUGAGUGAUGUCCGUUAAGGGCAUCUUUUGGCACCUCUAAAAAUGGUGCAGAAUAAGGGGUGGGCAAGUCUGGUGUCAGCCGCCGCGGUAAUACCAGCACCCCGAGUGGUCGGGACGAUUAUUGGGCCUAAAGCAUCCGUAGCCGGUUCUGCAAGUCUUCCGUUAAAUCCACCUGCUCAACAGAUGGGCUGCGGAGGAUACUACAGGGCUAGGAGGCGGGAGAGGCAAGCGGUACUCAGUGGGUAGGGGUAAAAUCCUCUGAUCCACUGAAGACCACCAGUGGCGAAGGCGGCUUGCCAGAACGCGCUCGACGGUGAGGGAUGAAAGCUGGGGGAGCAAACCGGAUUAGAUACCCGGGUAGUCCCAGCUGUAAACGAUGCAGACUCGGUGAUGGGUUGGCUUUGAGCCAACCCAGUGCCGCAGGGAAGCCGUUAAGUCUGCCGCCUGGGGAGUACGGUCGCAAGACUGAAACUUAAAGGAAUUGGCGGGGGAGCACCACGAGGGGUGAAGCCUGCGGUUCAAUUGGAGUCAACGCCGGG
RNAcentral lists this ribosomal RNA (910 nucleotides) under uncultured crenarchaeote. RNAcentral describes it as "bacterial SSU rRNA". It matches the Rfam family "Archaeal small subunit ribosomal RNA", at positions 1 to 922 of the family's 1478-position model. Lineage: Archaea; Thermoproteati; Thermoproteota. The record is from RNAcentral.